RNAcentral lists this ribosomal RNA (506 nucleotides) under uncultured bacterium. RNAcentral describes it as "partial 16S ribosomal RNA". It matches the Rfam family "Bacterial small subunit ribosomal RNA", at positions 30 to 523 of the family's 1533-position model. The record is from RNAcentral.
AUUGAACGCUGGCGGCAGGCCUAACUCAUGCAAGUCGAACAGUAACAGGAAGCAGCUUGCUGCUUCGCUGACGAGUGGCGGACGGGUGAGUAAUGUCUGGGAAACUGCCUGAUGGAGGGGGAUAACUACUGGAAACGGUAGCUAAUACCGCAUAACGUCGCAAGACCAAAGAGGGGGACCUUCGGGCCUCUUGCCAUCGGAUGUGCCCAGAUGGGAUUAGCUAGUAGGUGGGGUAACGGCUCACCUAGGCGACGAUCCCUAGCUGGUCUGAGGGGAUGACCAGCCACACUGGAACUGAGACACGGUCCAGACUCCUACGGGAGGCAGCAGUGGGGAAUAUUGCACAAUGGGCGCAAGCCUGAUGCAGCCAUGCCGCGUGUAUGAAGAAGGCCUUCGGGUUGUAAAGUACUUUCAGCGGGGAGGAAGGCGAUAAGGUUAAUAACCUUGUCGAUUGACGUUACCCGCAGAAGAAGCACCGGCUAACUCCGUGCCAGCAGCCGCCGUAA